AUCCAACUGACGAGUCCCAAAUAGGACGAAGUGAUGCGCGUCAUGGAU
Molecule: non-coding RNA, 48 nt
Organism: Schistosoma margrebowiei
Lineage: Eukaryota; Metazoa; Platyhelminthes; Trematoda; Strigeidida; Schistosomatidae
Source: Rfam